UACGGGGGGGGCAAGCGUUGUUCGGAAUUACUGGGCGUAAAGGGCUCGUAGGUGGCCAACUAAGUCAGACGUGAAAUCCCUCAGCUUAACUGGGGAACUGCGUCUGAUACUGGAUGGCUUGAGUUUGGGAGAGGGAUGCGGAAUUCCAGGUGUAGCGGUGAAAUGCGUAGAUAUCUGGAGGAACACCGGUGGCGAAGGCGGCAUCCUGGACCAAUACUGACACUGAGGAGCGAAAGCCAGGGGGGCAAACGGG
RNAcentral lists this ribosomal RNA (253 nucleotides) under uncultured bacterium. RNAcentral's name for it is "partial 16S ribosomal RNA". It matches the Rfam family "Bacterial small subunit ribosomal RNA", at positions 524 to 776 of the family's 1533-position model. The record is from RNAcentral.